AUGAUUGGUGACAGCUCUCAGGAUGGAAUCACAUCAGUAACUAAUGCAGUGCAAGCUUUGGAAGGCAGCAGUGUCACACUGUCAUGCAACUACACUUCUUCUAAUAUUGGAGACACCCUACAAUGGUAUCGCCAGUACCCCAGUUCAAAACCUGAAUUCCUCAUCCUCAUCGUCAGAAACAGACUGAGGUUCACUGUAAAACAUGACAAAAAGAACAGACAUGUGCAACUGGAGAUCUCCUCUGCUGAAGUGACAGACUCUGCACUGUACUACUGUGCC
Non-coding RNA from Conger conger (European conger), 279 nucleotides. The record is from the annotation of a RefSeq genome assembly. NCBI's taxonomy places the organism in Eukaryota, Metazoa, Chordata, Actinopteri, Anguilliformes, Congridae.